GAGUUUGAUCAUGGCUCAGAACGAACGCUGGCGGCGUGGAUAAGACAUGCAAGUCGAACGGGAGAAUUGCUAGCUUGCUAAUAAUUCUCUAGUGGCGCACGGGUGAGUAACACGUGAGUAACCUGCCCCCGAGAGCGGGAUAGCCCUGGGAAACUGGGAUUAAUACCGCAUAGUAUCGAAAGAUUAAAGCAGCAAUGCGCUUGGGGAUGGGCUCGCGGCCUAUUAGUUAGUUGGUGAGGUAACGGCUCACCAAGGCGAUGACGGGUAGCCGGUCUGAGAGGAUGUCCGGCCACACUGGAACUGAGACACGGUCCAGACACCUACGGGUGGCAGCAGUCGAGAAUCAUUCACAAUGGGGGAAACCCUGAUGGUGCGACGCCGCGUGGGGGAAUGAAGGUCUUCGGAUUGUAAACCCCUGUCAUGU
This 424-nucleotide ribosomal RNA is filed under the name uncultured microorganism. Its description in RNAcentral is "bacterial SSU rRNA". It matches the Rfam family "Bacterial small subunit ribosomal RNA", at positions 9 to 441 of the family's 1533-position model. The record is from RNAcentral.